RNAcentral lists this ribosomal RNA (377 nucleotides) under uncultured bacterium. RNAcentral's name for it is "bacterial SSU rRNA". It matches the Rfam family "Bacterial small subunit ribosomal RNA", at positions 523 to 898 of the family's 1533-position model. The record is from RNAcentral.
AUACGUAGGGGGCGAGCGUUGUCCGGAAUUAUUGGGCGUAAAGGGCGUGUAGGCGGCCAUGCAAGUCAGGGGUGAAACCCCGGGGCUCAACCCCGGGCAUGCCUCUGAAACUGCAGGGCUUGAGUGCUCUAGAGGGCAGUGGAAUUCCCGGUGUAGCAGUGAAAUGCGUAGAGAUCGGGAGGAACACCAGUGGCGAAGGCGACUGCCUGGGGAGUAACUGACGCUGAGGCGCGAAAGCUAGGGGAGCAAACAGGAUUAGAUACCCUGGUAGUCCUAGCCGUAAACGAUGAGUGCUAUGUGUGAGGGGUAUCGACCCCCCUCGUGCAGCAGUUAACGCAAUAAGCACUCCGCCUGGGGAGUACGGCCGCAAGGUUGAA